AUUGAACGCUGGCGGCAUGCCUUACACAUGCAAGUCGAACGGUAACAGGUCUUCGGAUGCUGACGAGUGGCGGACGGGUGAGUAAUACAUCGGAACGCGCCUAGUAGUGGGGGAUAACUACUCGAAAGAGUGGCUAAUACCGCAUGAGAUCUACGGAUGAAAGCAGGGGAUCGCAAGACCUUGUGCUACUAGAGCGGCCGAUGGCAGAUUAGGUAGUUGGUGGGAUAAAAGCUUACCAAGCCGACGAUCUGUAGCUGGUCUGAGAGGACGAUCAGCCACACUGGGACUGAGACACGGCCCAGACUCCUACGGGAGGCAGCAGUGGGGAAUUUUGGACAAUGGGCGAAAGCCUGAUCCAGCAAUGCCGCGUGCAGGAUGAAGGCCUUCGGGUUGUAAACUGCUUUUGUACGGAACGAAAAGCCCCGGGUUAAUACCCUGGGGUCAUGACGGUACCGUAAGAAUAAGCACCGGCUAACUACGUGCCAGCCGCCGCGGUAA
Molecule: ribosomal RNA, 498 nt
Filed under: uncultured bacterium
Lineage: Bacteria
Description: partial 16S ribosomal RNA
Rfam family: Bacterial small subunit ribosomal RNA
Source: RNAcentral